Molecule: ribosomal RNA, 773 nt
Filed under: uncultured Neocallimastigales
Lineage: Eukaryota; Fungi; Neocallimastigomycota; Neocallimastigomycetes; Neocallimastigales
Description: partial large subunit ribosomal RNA
Rfam family: Eukaryotic large subunit ribosomal RNA
Source: RNAcentral
UACACGCUGUGACUAGCAUAUCAAUAAGCGGAGGAAAAGAAACUAACAAGGAUUCCCCUAGUAACGGCGAGUGAAGCGGGAAGAGCUCAAAUUUGAAAUCUUAAAGGGUUUCCCUUUACGAAUUGUAGUUUAAAGAAGUGUUUUCUGUUGAGGUUUUGGUAAAAGUUCUUUGGAAUAGGACAUCAUAGAGGGUGAGAAUCCCGUAUUUGACCUUUACUUUCAACUUUGUGAUACACUUUCAAAGAGUCGGAUUGUUUGGGAAUGCAGUCCAAAAUGGGUGGUAAAUUUCAUCUAAAGCUAAAUAUUGGCGAGAGACCGAUAGCGAACAAGUACCGUGAGGGAAAGAUGAAAAGAACUUUGAAAAGAGAGUUAAACAGUACGUGAAAUUGUCAAAAGGGAAGCGUUUGACACCAGUGUUGUUUUUCUGAAAAUCAAUUAAAGAACUGUUUAUGCUAAGCUGUUUAGACUUUAUCAGCUAUCUGUUUAGUUUUGAGCUUUUCUUUAAUGCACUUUUCAGUUAACAAGUCAACAUCAAUUUCUUUUGCUGUAAAAAAGCUUGAGGAAGGUGGCUUGAGAUUCGUCUUAAGUGUUUAUAGCCUCUUGCCUAUGCAGUCGGAGAGAUUGAGGUCUGCAGCGUAGAUCCUUCGGGGCUAAAUGCAUUUGUGCUAAGUUAUAGCAUUUUAUAGACAACUUGUUGACUAUGAUUUGUCUUGUAGCUUACUCGCUUAUGUUAUUUUACCUACGCUUAGGAUGUUGAGUCGUAGAGCACGCAG